UACGAAGGUUGCAAGCGUUAUCCGGAAUUAUUGGGCGUAAAGAGUGAGCAGGUGGCUUAUUAAGUUUGGAGUUAAAUCGUUGCGCUUAACGCAAUCACGCUUCAAAAACUGAUAGGCUAGAAUAUGUGAGAGGUAAGUAGAACUCCAUGUGUAGCGGUGAAAUGCGUAGAUAUAUGGAAGAAUACCAGUGGCGAAGGCGGCUUACCAGCACAAUAUUGACACUCAGUCACGAAAGUAUAGGGAGCAAAUA
This 250-nucleotide ribosomal RNA is filed under the name uncultured prokaryote. Its description in RNAcentral is "partial 16S ribosomal RNA". It matches the Rfam family "Bacterial small subunit ribosomal RNA", at positions 524 to 774 of the family's 1533-position model. The record is from RNAcentral.